GGGGAUUUGGCUCAGUGGUAGAGCGCUUGCCUAGGAAGCGCAAGGUCCUGGGUUCGAUCCCCAGCCCUG
Molecule: non-coding RNA, 69 nt
Organism: Rattus norvegicus (Norway rat)
Lineage: Eukaryota; Metazoa; Chordata; Mammalia; Rodentia; Muridae
Source: Rfam